Molecule: non-coding RNA, 96 nt
Filed under: Candidatus Jettenia caeni
Lineage: Bacteria; Pseudomonadati; Planctomycetota; Candidatus Brocadiia; Candidatus Brocadiales; Candidatus Brocadiaceae
Also listed under: 1 other name
Description: planctomycete KSU-1 c-di-GMP-I-GGC riboswitch aptamer
Rfam family: c-di-GMP-I-GGC riboswitch aptamer
Source: Rfam by way of RNAcentral
AACGAUAAAGGCAAACUCUGAGCGAUCAGAGGACGCAAAGUAAAGGAUCUUUAAGGCCCCAAAAUUAUCGCUGAAAAGAUAGCCCUACUACCGAAA